Long non-coding RNA from Stomoxys calcitrans (stable fly), 378 nucleotides. RefSeq lists it as uncharacterized. The record is from RefSeq and is a predicted model, not a curated record. The transcript is spliced from 3 exons. NCBI's taxonomy places the organism in Eukaryota, Metazoa, Arthropoda, Insecta, Diptera, Muscidae.
GAAAAAUCAAGACGGUGAAAAUAUAAAUGAAAUAAUUAUACAUGCGAAACGCACCUAAAAAUGGAGAACAUGGUAGAAAUUAAAUGGGCUUCUUGAUAUCGACUAACAGAAACACAACUACAUCCCUUCAUGUGGAUCAAUACUUCGAGAUAUUAUAUACGAAAGGCUAAGAUAUGGCGCCGGUGAUGAAAAAUGUAUGCGAAGCAAAGGGAGUAAAUAUCCGAGAGAACGACGUACAGUCCAAUCCCUUUCCUAAUAUUCCAACUACCUGCACAUAUUGUUAUUUUAAUGACUUUGGUUUGAAGUCUCAUUGACAGCAGUAAAAAAUUCAAUCACAAUUGAAAGAGUUCACUUGGAUUUCUUCCUCAUCUAUGUACA